AUUGAACGCUGGCGGCAAGCCUAACACAUGCAAGUCGAACGAGUGGCGGACGGGUGAGUAAUGUCUGGGAACCUGCCUGAUGGAGGGGGAUAACUACUGGAAACGGUAGCUAAUACCGCAUACCAUCGGAUGUGCCCAGAUGGGAUUAGCUAGUAGGUGGGGUAAAGGCGCACCUAGGCGACGAUCCCUAUCUGGUCUGAGAGGAUGACCGGCCACACGGGAAAUGAGACACGGACCAGAAUCCUACGGGAGGCAGCAGUGGGGAAUAGUGGACAAUGGGCGCAAGCCUGAUGCAGCCAGGCCGCGUGUAUGAAGAAGGCCUUCGGGUUGUAAAGUACUUUCAGCGGGGAGGCGGUACCCGCAGAAGAAGCACCGGCUAACUACGUGCCAGCAGCCGCGGUAAUAC
RNAcentral lists this ribosomal RNA (406 nucleotides) under uncultured bacterium. Its description in RNAcentral is "partial 16S ribosomal RNA". It matches the Rfam family "Bacterial small subunit ribosomal RNA", at positions 29 to 526 of the family's 1533-position model. The record is from RNAcentral.